UACGGAGGGGGCUAGCGUUGUUCGGAAUUACUGGGCGUAAAGCGUACGUAGGCGGCUUUGUAAGUUAGAGGUGAAAGCCCGGGGCUCAACUCCGGAAUUGCCUUUAAGACUGCAUCGCUUGAAUCAUGGGGAGGUGAGUGGAAUUCCGAGUGUAGAGGUGAAAUUCGUAGAUAUUCGGAAGAACACCAGUGGCGAAGGCGACUCACUGGACAUGUAUUGACGCUGAGGUACGAAAGCGUGGGGAGCAAACAGG
RNAcentral lists this ribosomal RNA (253 nucleotides) under uncultured bacterium. RNAcentral describes it as "partial 16S ribosomal RNA". It matches the Rfam family "Bacterial small subunit ribosomal RNA", at positions 524 to 776 of the family's 1533-position model. The record is from RNAcentral.